Molecule: long non-coding RNA, 546 nt
Organism: Xenopus tropicalis (tropical clawed frog)
Lineage: Eukaryota; Metazoa; Chordata; Amphibia; Anura; Pipidae
Exons: 2
Source: RefSeq, a predicted model, not a curated record
UAAGCUUCGGUAUCAUGACUUUCCUUGGGCCAGGUUGGAGCUGCAGAGUGCCAUUGAGUCCUAUGGGAGGCUUCCAAAAAUAUGAACUGGUUCAAAGUCAGAGUUCAACGUUUUUUGCGCUGUUUCCGAUUGUUCGGAUAUGAAAAUUUCUGAACUUUCAGAUCGUACCACGAUAUUUUCGCACGACCACGAUCCAAAACUUUUGCGCUAUUACUGCACAUCAGAAAUUAUCGGAUUUAAUCAGAAUUUUUCCCAUUGUGCUUUUUAAUGUUCCGAAAUUCGGACUUAAUUCGCCCCUUAAUUUGGGUUUAAACCCAUGGGAAAACUCAUAAAUUGGCCUUGAGGUACCCUUUAACUAGAAAAUAUUGGGGAAUAGGUAAAAAUUACUAAUUAACAGUGGUUAAACAAGCAGUUCAUGACUAUGUCUUCAAAUUUAACUAAUUUGGGAGCAGUGUAUCUGAAAACAUUGCAAAAGUAAGGUCUGCUAAAACAAUAUUCUAUAUCAAAUGGAACAGUAAAUACAAUUUGUUGUAGAAUACCUCAGUA